This is a long non-coding RNA of Pocillopora damicornis (cauliflower coral), 1073 nucleotides long. The record is from RefSeq and is a predicted model, not a curated record. Lineage: Eukaryota; Metazoa; Cnidaria; Anthozoa; Scleractinia; Pocilloporidae.
GGGUGCAGCUGUUAUUAGGUUUCGAAAAAUACAACUCUUUGCAUCUCGCUUUUCGUUCAAGUUAUUCUCAUUACCCUCGAAAUCAAGUGGUUUUGUCUUCGAAUAUUUUUAUUUAAGAGGAAGCCUACUGGUCAAAAUAUUGCUGGCUCACUCUUUAGGUCUCGCAGUCAACGCCGACGACACUUUUAUCGACUGACGUAGAUUAACAUGUGAUAAAAAAAGACAGUGUACUAUCCAAGAAAAGAAAUACAAACAGAGAUCUGCAGAAUAUUCUGAAAUUGUCAUCUAGCAGACACCAUGACCAACGCGCUCGAAUGAUUUCUGUAAAAAAUGUUCGGGUCACGACAAAGGUGUUACUUUGGCGGACUUUUGCAUGGAGAUGUUUGAUGGUGUUUUAUAAUUUAACAGAGCUACCGAUAUUUCUUCUCGAGCGACAGCGCAGAAUUCCUCGUCUGUAAAAGCGGAAGAUGUCACACACGAAAGGUGCUAUGUCGACCAACACGUUGCUUGUAACUUUAAAUCACCAAAAAUGGGCGAUAAGGACAACAGACUAUCAGAUCAUUGACUAAUUAAUGUUUUCUGCCGUACGAAAGCCAUAUUUGCUGAUUUUGGCAAAUCUCCAAAGUAACAAACCACAGAAGAAAGAGGCGUUACGACUUUCCAUGAACAUUUGCCUACACACAUCUCGCUUUUAAACGUGAAGUUUUUUACUCCUAUAAAAAAUCUCGCAGUUUUUCACACUUUUAACUUUGUUGAUUAAUGAUGUUGUAUAGCGAACUAUAAAAUGCUGGAUUAAUUGGCCAAGCAACCGCCUAGACCCAGAAUUGCGUGACAGGUGUACUUCAGGGAACCUUGUCACAGCAGCAGAUUUUAAAAGGCAUUCGAGACAAAAAUACGGCAGACCCCCAAGAUAUUUUUUAGAUGGUUUUCACAGAUGAAAUGAUAGAUUAUAAAGGCGACUUAAAAUUGGUGUUGUAACUGUCUGGCAAGGGGAGCUAUUUAACUCCAAGGUUAUCAAAUAUUUGGAUUUAUCAAAAAGUCUAAAAAUAAACUGAGUAAUGUAUUUGCUUUUG